CACUCCUGCGGGAGGCAGCAGUGGGGAAUUUUGGACAAUGGGCGCAAGCCUGAUCCAGCCAUGCCGCGUGCGGGAAGAAGGCCUUCGGGUUGUAAACCGCUUUUGUCAGGGAAGAAAAGGUUCUGGCUAAUACCUGGGACUCAUGACGGUACCUGAAGAAUAAGCACCGGCUAACUACGUGCCAGCAGCCGCGGUAAUACGUAGGGUGCAAGCGUUAAUCGGAAUUACUGGGCGUAAAGCGUGCGCAGGCGGUUAUGCAAGACAGAGGUGAAAUCCCCGGGCUCAACCUGGGAACUGCCUUUGUGACUGCAUGGCUAGAGUACGGUAGAGGGGGAUGGAAUUCCGCGUGUAGCAGUGAAAUGCGUAGAUAUGCGGAGGAACACCGAUGGCGAAGGCAAUCCCCUGGACCUGUACUGACGCUCAUGCACGAAAGCGUGGGGAGCAAACAGGAUUAGAUACCCGUGUAGUCCCA
Molecule: ribosomal RNA, 472 nt
Filed under: uncultured organism
Description: partial 16S ribosomal RNA
Rfam family: Bacterial small subunit ribosomal RNA
Source: RNAcentral